ACGAGGAUGAUGAAAACAAUCAUUCGGAUUCCCAAUGAUUUUCUCUUCGUAAUGGUUUUUAUUCGAAGAGGAUUGUGAUCUUAAAUUCCUGUUUGACUCGUCACGAUACUGCUAUCUACACUUUUUUUUUAAAUUGAUUUUAUUUUUAAAUUGUUUAUUUUUAAAUAGGGUAUGGCCAGUGAUGUAAGAAAGAUAUUUGCUACUCUUGAUGAGAUUAUCUCAUUUGAUGAUUCUUUAUCCACCAAGAUCUCUGAGGCC
Molecule: long non-coding RNA, 258 nt
Filed under: Helianthus annuus (common sunflower)
Lineage: Eukaryota; Viridiplantae; Streptophyta; Magnoliopsida; Asterales; Asteraceae
Description: sRNA HanXRQr2_Chr14g0637331
Rfam family: Small nucleolar RNA SNORD24 (bases 174-258)
Source: RNAcentral